RNAcentral lists this ribosomal RNA (494 nucleotides) under uncultured bacterium. RNAcentral's name for it is "partial 16S ribosomal RNA". It matches the Rfam family "Bacterial small subunit ribosomal RNA", at positions 28 to 507 of the family's 1533-position model. The record is from RNAcentral.
GACGAACGCUGGCGGCGUGCUUAACACAUGCCAGUCGACCGGUGAAGCGCCUUCCUUUUUGGUGGGUGUGGAUGAGUGGCGAACGGGUGAGUAACACGUGAGUAACCUGCCCCCUUCUUCUGGAUAACCGCAUGAAAGUGUGGCUAAUACAGGAUAUUCUGGGUCUGUCGCAUGAUGGGUCUGGGAAAGAUAUUGUUUCGGUGGGGGAUGGGCUCGCGGCUUAUCAGCUUGUUGGUGGGGUGAUGGCCUACCAAGGCGGUGACGGGUAGCCGGCAUGAGAGGGUGGGCGGCCAGAGGGGGGCUGAGACGCGGCCAAGACUCCGACGGGAGGCAGCAGUGGGGAUUAUUGCACAGGGGGCGCAAGGCUGAUGCAGCGACGCGGCGUGAGGGAUGGAGGCCUGCGGGUUGUGAACCUCUUUCGGGGGUGAAGCGGGCCUGCCUCGUUUGUGGGUGGGUUGACGGUAGCUGGAUAAGAAGCGCCGGCUAACUACGUG